GAUGAACGCUGGCGGCGUGCCUAAUACAUGCAAGUCGAGCGAACGGACGAGAAGCUUGCUUCUCUGAUGUUAGCGGCGGACGGGUGAGUAACACGUGGAUAACCUACCUAUAAGACUGGGAUAACUUCGGGAAACCGGAGCUAAUACCGGAUAAUAUUUUGAACCGCAUGGUUCAAAAGUGAAAGACGGUCUUGCUGUCACUUAUAGAUGGAUCCGCGCUGCAUUAGCUAGUUGGUAAGGUAACGGCUUACCAAGGCAACGAUGCAUAGCCGACCUGAGAGGGUGAUCGGCCACACUGGAACUGAGACACGGUCCAGACUCCUACGGGAGGCAGCAGUAGGGAAUCUUCCGCAAUGGGCGAAAGCCUGACGGAGCAACGCCGCGUGAGUGAUGAAGGUCUUCGGAUCGUAAAACUCUGUUAUUAGGGAAGAACAUAUGUGUAAGUAACUGUGCACAUCUUGACGGUACCUAAUCAGAAAGCCACGGCUAACUACGUGCCAGCAGCCGCGGUAAUACGUAGGUGGCAAGCGUUAUCCGGAAUUAUUGGGCGUAAAGCGCGCGUAGGCGGUUUUUUAAGUCUGAUGUGAAAGCCCACGGCUCAACCGUGGAGGGUCAUUGGAAACUGGAAAACUUGAGUGCAGAAGAGGAAAGUGGAAUUCCAUGUGUAGCGGUGAAAUGCGCAGAGAUAUGGAGGAACACCAGUGGCGAAGGCGACUUUCUGGUCUGUAACUGACGCUGAUGUGCGAAAGCGUGGGGAUCAAACAGGAUUAGAUACCCUGGUAGUCCACGCCGUAAACGAUGAGUGCUAAGUGUUAGGGGGUUUCCGCCCCUUAGUGCUGCAGCUAACGCAUUAAGCACUCCGCCUGGGGAGUACGACCGCAAGGUUGAAACUCAAAGGAAUUGACGGGGACCCGCACAAGCGGUGGAGCAUGUGGUUUAAUUCGAAGCAACGCGAAGAACCUUACCAAAUCUUGACAUCCUUUGACAACUCUAGAGAUAGAGCCUUCCCCUUCGGGGGGCAAAGUGACAGGUGGUGCAUGGUUGUCGUCAGCUCGUGUCGUGAGAUGUUGGGUUAAGUCCCGCAACGAACGCAACCCUUAAGCUUAGUUGCCAUCAUUAAGUUGGGCACUCUAAGUUGACUGCCGGUGACAAACCGGAGGAAGGUGGGGAUGACGUCAAAUCAUCAUGCCCCUUAUGAUUUGGGCUACACACGUGCUACAAUGGACAAUACAAAGGGCAGCGAAACCGCGAGGUCAAGCAAAUCCCAUAAAGUUGUUCUCAGUUCGGAUUGUAGUCUGCAACUCGACUACAUGAAGCUGGAAUCGCUAGUAAUCGUAGAUCAGCAUGCUACGGUGAAUACGUUCCCGGGUCU
This 1372-nucleotide ribosomal RNA is filed under the name uncultured bacterium. RNAcentral's name for it is "bacterial SSU rRNA". It matches the Rfam family "Bacterial small subunit ribosomal RNA", at positions 28 to 1381 of the family's 1533-position model. The record is from RNAcentral.